RNAcentral lists this long non-coding RNA (1288 nucleotides) under Nicotiana benthamiana. RNAcentral's name for it is "long non-coding RNA (NBEN_LNC036370)". The record is from RNAcentral. Lineage: Eukaryota; Viridiplantae; Streptophyta; Magnoliopsida; Solanales; Solanaceae.
UCAAAACGAAACAAAAUGCAGACUCAAUGUUUGAAAAGUCAAGAAUACAUUAAAGCUUCUAUUAUCAGGGCCCGCGGGGCAUCAUUCGGCCUCACCGCAGGCUUAAUUGCGAGACCCCCUUGUAGUCGCUCCAAAUCAGUCAUUACAUGACGGACGAAGAUCAUCACUAUGGCAAAGAAGGUGGUUCGAGUCAUAUCCUCGCAUGCUUGGCAUUUCAUGGUGAUGUAACCAGCGAUGGCUAUGAUACUCUCUCUAAUCCUGCCCUUUUCUUGAAGUAAUCGCCCUAUCUGCUGGUUUCGGGCCUCCAACACUUGGGAGUCAUGAAAGUGCUGAUUUUGCCAAACAGUCCAACAGUCCAGUUAUUUACACAUGACUGUAUUGUUCAAAUAAACAGAAACUGUUAAAUAUCUAAAUUAAGUAAAACAGCAGGAAAUUCAAGAGAAUAACAAGUAAUAAAUCAUCAUUCAUCUUUAAAUUUGAUAAUACAUGUUGAUCUAAUCUUCAUACAUCACUUGGGCCAGAAAUGUACCUGGAAUUUGAAUGGAAAAUAGAAAAUGAGGGUCAGCUAGGCAGCAACAACACACAACAACUGUAAAACCAAUUUAAAGCCCAGGAAAUUAUAUCCAUAACCGCAUAAAUAAUUUCAUGCAGAUAAACACCAGUAAACAACCCAAAACCAGCUUGAAUGAACCAAAUGCAACUCAAAAAUAACCUCAGGAAUCUCUGAAAUCUCAACUACUAGGCUCACCAGUAGAAGUUAAGCCAUUUUCGACUCUAGAUAAACUGAAGAUUAAAGUGAGAACUUGGAACUUCAAAAUCACCCUAAAGGUUCAAUGGAAUAGUGAUUUUUGGAUUUUUGUUCACCUCAAGUUUUUUUUGGAACUUUUCGGUGUUUUUAUUGCUUUUUUAACCUCUAAAAUCUGACUAGCAAGACAAAUACCUGAUGCCUUAUAAGCAAUUAGGUAGGGCAAACUUUCAGAUCUUUUAUUGCACUUAGGUCCCUCCGUUUUUAACUUAUUAACCAAGUUAUAGCAUUGCAAUUUAUAGGGGAACCCUACUAAAAACUUCUAUUUUUUAUGCUAAGAUUCUCUAUGAUUUAAUUCCUCAUUUACCCUUUCAAUCGCUGGAUAUUUCAAUUUUGCCCUCUGUCCUAAUUUGAAAUUAUUUACAACCAUUUUUAAGACCUUUAGUUAAAUAUUACUGCAUUUCACUUUUGAACAUAAACUAAAUUUCAACCAUACUCAUAAAUUAUAGAUCAAAAUUAAGAUUAGCUAAUCUGUGAGCAAAC